AAAACUCACCAGGUCCAGACAUAGAUAGGAUUGACAGACUGAUAGCUCUUUCUUAAUUCUAUGGGUGAUGGUGCAUGGCCGUUCUUAGUUGGUGGAGUGAUUUGUCUGGUUAAUUCCGUUAACGAACGAGACCUUAACCUGCUAAAUAGUUUCCUGAACCUCGGUUCAUCGGUUUACUUCUUAGAGGGACUUCGUGUGUUUAACGCGAGGAAGUUUGAGGCAAUAA
RNAcentral lists this ribosomal RNA (226 nucleotides) under uncultured marine eukaryote. RNAcentral describes it as "partial 18S ribosomal RNA". It matches the Rfam family "Eukaryotic small subunit ribosomal RNA", at positions 1210 to 1456 of the family's 1831-position model. The record is from RNAcentral.